GUCCAACAGCUCGCAGUCACACCUGUUAGGUGUUUCUCCACUCCGCGUCUCCGCCCAGCUAGCAACCCCCGCACCGCCUGGGACCCGGGUGCAGAGCGGGUGAAAAAGGACCGAGAAGUGGGACCCGGCCUUCUGAAAUAGACCCCCCCGAGACUCGGGACUCGGCGCGCCAGGCCGGCGCGGGGAGGGGGGCCUGCGAAGGCGGGAGAGGUCGGACAGGGGUAAGGGAAGGCCUGGGGAAGGGCCGUUACUGCUCGCGUUACGCUUCCAGAGCCUGCGGCAGAGGCGGCGGGGCUGAGCCGCCUAGGGGAUGGUGCUCGUACCAGCCUCUGCGUUUCUCCUCGAAGCCCGGCCUCGCCUCCCCUCGCCCAGCCGCCGCUCUAGUUAGGCCGCGCAGAGUAAGCGCGGGCGUCGCCGGCCGCACGUCGCCCGGGACUGGUGAGGAGGGCGCGACAGGGGCAAGGCAGGGGACUCUGCAAGCCAGGCGGCCCUAGCAUCCCCCAAGCGCACAAACCCCGGCUGUACGGGACCGCGGCCGGGACCGCGACCAGGACGGAGCUCCCCGCUCGCCCCCCGGAGACCGGCAGCGACCGGGAGGCAACGCGGGGCUCCGCCGCUCGACUCGCAG
RNAcentral lists this long non-coding RNA (628 nucleotides) under Marmota monax (woodchuck). The record is from RNAcentral. Lineage: Eukaryota; Metazoa; Chordata; Mammalia; Rodentia; Sciuridae.